GCCAGGCAUGGUGGCGCAUGCCUGUAAUCCCAGUGGCUCAGGAGGCUGAGAUAGGAGGAUCAUGAAUUGAAAGCCAGCCUCAGCAAAAGCGAGGUGCUAAGCAACUCAGUGAGACUCUGUCUCUA
RNAcentral lists this small RNA (125 nucleotides) under Marmota monax (woodchuck). The record is from RNAcentral. Lineage: Eukaryota; Metazoa; Chordata; Mammalia; Rodentia; Sciuridae.